RNAcentral lists this ribosomal RNA (404 nucleotides) under Actinomycetes bacterium. RNAcentral's name for it is "Actinobacteria bacterium partial 16S ribosomal RNA". It matches the Rfam family "Bacterial small subunit ribosomal RNA", at positions 355 to 776 of the family's 1533-position model. Lineage: Bacteria; Bacillati; Actinomycetota; Actinomycetes. The record is from RNAcentral.
UGGGGAAUAUUGGACAAUGGGCGCAAGCCUGAUCCAGCCAUGCCGCGUGAGUGAUGAAGGCCCUAGGGUUGUAAAGCUCUUUCACCGGUGAAGAUAAUGACGGUAACUGGAGAAGAAGCCCCGGCUAACUUCGUGCCAGCAGCCGCGGUAAUACGAAGGGGGCUAGCGUUGUUCGGAUUUACUGGGCGUAAAGCGCACGUAGGCGGACUAUUAAGUCAGGGGUGAAAUCCCGGGGCUCAACCCCGGAACUGCCUUUGAUACUGGUAGUCUUGAGUUCGAGAGAGGUGGGUGGAAUUCCGAGUGUAGAGGUGAAAUUCGUAGAUAUUCGGAGGAACACCAGUGGCGAAGGCGGCUCACUGGCUCGAUACUGACGCUGAGGUGCGAAAGCGUGGGGAGCAAACAGG